AUUUUCUUAGUAUAAUCAGUACUAAUGACUUCCAAUCAUUAAGCCUUGGUUAAACCCCAAGAGAAAAUA
Molecule: transfer RNA, 69 nt
Filed under: Duttaphrynus melanostictus (Asian common toad)
Lineage: Eukaryota; Metazoa; Chordata; Amphibia; Anura; Bufonidae
Description: partial tRNA-Gly
Rfam family: tRNA
About the family: Transfer RNA (tRNA) molecules are approximately 80 nucleotides in length. Their secondary structure includes four short double-helical elements and three loops (D, anti-codon, and T loops).
Source: RNAcentral